UGCCAGCCGCUGCGGUAAUACGGAGGGGGUUAGCGUUGUUCGGAAUUACUGGGCGUAAAGCGCACGUAGGCGGAUUGGAAAGUUGGGGGUGAAAUCCCGGGGCUCAACCCCGGAACUGCCUCCAAAACUAUCUGUCUAGAGUUCGAGAGAGGUGAGUGGAACUCCGAGUGUAGAGGUGAAAUUCGUAGAUAUUCGGAAGAACACUAGUGGCGAAGGCGGCUCACUGGCUCGAUACUGACGCUGAGGCGCGAAGGCGUGGGUAGCGAACAGGAUUAGAUA
Molecule: ribosomal RNA, 279 nt
Filed under: uncultured bacterium
Lineage: Bacteria
Description: partial 16S ribosomal RNA
Rfam family: Bacterial small subunit ribosomal RNA
Source: RNAcentral